RNAcentral lists this ribosomal RNA (407 nucleotides) under uncultured bacterium. RNAcentral describes it as "partial 16S ribosomal RNA". It matches the Rfam family "Bacterial small subunit ribosomal RNA", at positions 30 to 526 of the family's 1533-position model. The record is from RNAcentral.
AUUGAACGCUGGCGGCAGGCCUAACACAUGCAAGUCGAGCGGAGCGGCGGACGGGUGAGUAAUGCCUAGGAAUCUGCCUGGUAGUGGGGGAUAAAGUCCGGAAACGGGCGCUAAUACCGCAUACUAUCAGAUGAGCCUAGGUCGGAUUAGCUAGUUGGGGGGGUAAAGGCAUACCAAGGCGACGCUCCGUAACUGGGCUGCGAGGAUGAUCAGUCAAAUGGGAACUGAGACACGGUCCAGAUUCCGACGGGGGGCAGCAGUGGGGAAUAUUGGACAAUGGGCGAAAGCCUGUGCCAGCCGUGCCGCGUGUGUGAAGAAGGGCUUCGGAUUGUAAAGCACUUUAAGUUGGGCGGGGUUACCAACAGAAUAAGCACCGGCUAACUUCGUGCCAGCAGCCGCGGUAAUUC